AACCUGGUUGAUCCUGCCAGUAGUCAUAUGCUUGUCUUAAAGAUUAAGCCAUGCAUGUCUAAGUAUAAAUAGUAUACAGUGAAACUGCGAAUGGCUCAUUAAAACAGUUAUAGUUUAUUUGAUAGUUGAAUGCUACAUGGAUAACCGUGGUAAUUCUAGAGCUAAUACAUGCGUAAAAACCUGACUUUUUGAAAGGUUGUAUUUAUUAGAUUACAAACCAAUAUUCCCUCUGGGUCUAUUGUGAUGAUUCAUAAUAACUGAUCGGAGCGAACGCAGUUCGCUAAAUCAUUCAAGUUUCUGCCCUAUCAGCUUUCGAAGGUAGUGUAUUGGACUACCUUGGCAGUCACGGGUAACGGGGAAUUAGGGUUCGAUUCCGGAGAGGGAGCCUGAGAAACGGCUACCACUUCUAAGGAAGGCAGCAGGCGCGUAAAUUACCCAAUCCUGAUUCAGGGAGGUAGUGACAAGAAAUAACAACUCGGGGCCUCACGGCUCACGGGAUUGAAAUGAGAACAAUUUAAAACACUUAACGAGGAACGAUUGGAGGGCAAGUCUGGUGCCAGCAGCCGCGGUAAUUCCAGCUCCAAUAGC
This 588-nucleotide ribosomal RNA is filed under the name uncultured marine eukaryote. Its description in RNAcentral is "SSU rRNA". It matches the Rfam family "Eukaryotic small subunit ribosomal RNA", at positions 1 to 598 of the family's 1831-position model. The record is from RNAcentral.